AACUCUGGGACUGAAACACCUCUGUGUGCUUAUUUUCCAUGACAGUCUUUGUAGAGCUCUUUGGAGACACCUUAUAAUAUUUGAACAUAAUGGAAAGGGAGGGGACAGAGUUAAUUUUGCUUCAUCUUCUUCCUCAUUGUUCUCCCACUUUUUUUUUCCACCUUGAGGAGAAGAGAGGAUGCUGAUGGGAGAGUCCAUGCCUUCCACUGAAGCCUUUACCUGAAAUGUGCCACAUCUGGACAGACAUAGCAGCGUACUGACCUAAUUCUUCAGGUUGUGCAGCUGUGUACUCACUAUUUUAAGAGAUAAAUGAAUAACAGUCUCUCCCUUCUCCAGUGUAAAUUGACCAAAGCCUCCUCAUGUCAGUGAAGCCACAUGAAGUUGUGAAAACUGAGUGCCUGGGGCUGAAUGUUAGCUGGAGAAAGAAAAGGGUUAUAUUUUUGAAGGUGUCUGCUCUCUUGUUGGCUGCUGGACAGCUGUAUCACAAGGAUUUCCCUCUGGUAUAAAACACAGAGCUCUUCUGUAUCAGUGUGGAAUGCAGUAGCAAAUCACUGUACAGUGGCCCAUAAGGAUACCAGCUACCCUUAUAAACUUUUUAUAACUUAGGAAAAUAAACAUGUGGUUUCAGGCCUCUGCA
This 637-nucleotide long non-coding RNA is filed under the name Junco hyemalis (dark-eyed junco). RNAcentral's name for it is "lncRNA (ENSJHYG00000005304.1)". Lineage: Eukaryota; Metazoa; Chordata; Aves; Passeriformes; Passerellidae. The record is from RNAcentral.